CGGGGGGAGCAAGCGUUGUUCGGAUUUACUGGGCGUAAAGGGCGCGUAGGCGGUCAGCACAAGUCAGUUGUGAAAUCUCCGAGCUUAACUCGGAAAGGUCAACUGAUACCGUGCGACUAGAGUGCAGAAGGGGCAACUGGAAUUCUCGGUGUAGCGGUGAAAUGCGUAGAUAUCGAGAGGAACACCUGCGGCGAAGGCGGGUUGCUGGGCUGACACUGACGCUGAGGCGCGAAAGCUAGGGGAGCGAACGGGAUUAGAUACCCCGGUAGUCCUAGCCUUAAACGAUGAAUGCUUGGUGUCUGGGGUUAUAUAGUCCCCGGGUGCCGUCGCUAACGCUUUAAGCAUUCCGCCUGGGGAGUACGGUCGCAAGACUG
This 374-nucleotide ribosomal RNA is filed under the name uncultured organism. RNAcentral describes it as "bacterial SSU rRNA". It matches the Rfam family "Bacterial small subunit ribosomal RNA", at positions 526 to 896 of the family's 1533-position model. The record is from RNAcentral.